RNAcentral lists this ribosomal RNA (823 nucleotides) under uncultured fungus. RNAcentral describes it as "eukaryotic LSU rRNA". The stretch from base 502 to 823 matches the Rfam family "Eukaryotic large subunit ribosomal RNA", at positions 1 to 327 of the family's 3401-position model. Lineage: Eukaryota; Fungi. The record is from RNAcentral.
CGCGGAGGGAUCAUUACCGAGUUGUAACACUCACAAACCCACUGCAAACGUACCCAUUUUGGUGACUCCGGCAGGCGGCCCCAGGGCGGGGCCUCAGCCUUUUUAGGCGCCUGCCGAAGGUGCCGCAACUUUACUCUAUAAUCAUGUAUUCUGAGUCCUAAGACAAAAUAUCAAAAUUUUCAAUUGUGGAUCUCUUGGUUCUGGCAUCGAUGAAGAACGCAGCGAAAUGCGAUAAGUAAUGUGAAUUGCAGAAUUCAGCGAAUCAUCGAAUCUUUGAACGCACAUUGCGCCCAUUAGUAUUCUAGUGGGCAUGCCUGUUCGAGCGUCAUUUCAACCCUCGGGCCCGUACGGGACCGGUGUUGGGGCUUUUUUUUGCCGCAUGGCAAGCCCCGAAAGCAAGUGGCGGGCCCGCUGAGACCCCGAGCGUAGUAGUUUACACCAUCGCUCCGGGGCGCCCGGCGGGCGGCACCAGCCGUUAAAGCACUUCAAGUCUUACAAGGUUGACCUCGGAUCAGGUAGGAAUACCCGCUGAACUUAAGCAUAUCAAUAAGCGGAGGAAAAGAAACCAACAGGGAUUGCCCUAGUAACGGCGAGUGAAGCGGCAACAGCUCAAAUUUGAAAUCUGGCCCUAGGCCCGAAUUGUAAUUUGUAGAGGAUGCUUCUGGUGACGUGCCUUCUGAGUUCCCUGGAACGGGACGCCAGAGAGGGUGAGAGCCCCGUAUAGUCGGCCACUGAACCUCUGUGAAGCCCCUUCGACGAGUCGAGUAGUUUGGGAAUGCUGCUCAAAAUGGGAGGUAAACUUCUUCUAAAGCUAAAUACCGGC